RNAcentral lists this long non-coding RNA (9383 nucleotides) under Cucumis sativus (cucumber). Its description in RNAcentral is "long non-coding RNA (CSAT_LNC002239)". Lineage: Eukaryota; Viridiplantae; Streptophyta; Magnoliopsida; Cucurbitales; Cucurbitaceae. The record is from RNAcentral.
CCAAUACCGGAAAAGUUGAAAAGAAAUUGCACUCCGUGAAAGGCGACCACGAAAUCCUACCUUAACAACAAGAACUCCAUGAUGAAUCUAUGAAGAAUAUCUGUAAAAAGAGAGAGGAGAAAAGAAAAAAAGAUCGAAUCGAAAAGCGGUAGAAACUGGGAGAAAACCCUAGCCGCAAUGGCCGAGUGAGUGUAAGUGCAAACGAAGAGCCAACUCGAUAGAUAAACGCAUAUAGUUAUUUUGCGUUGUUCGACCGUUUCUAUAUAUCCUCCCUCGUGCGGUAUCGCAACAAUAUACUAUAACUUGGGGAAUUAUCAAAAAUAGGAUAAUUUGGAAGGAUGUAAAGAGUUUUGAGAUGAAUUUUAAAAAAGAUGACUUUUAGGACAAAUUAGUUGGAAAAAGUCUAUAUUACCCUCAAGUUAAAAAAUAUCCUAAAAUCAAUUUAUGAAUCCUCUCUUCUCCUUCUCCCUCCGUUUUUUCACUUUCUAAAAAUGUUUCAUUUUUCUCUCAUCCCUCCCUCUGGUGUUCCAUUUUCCCUCAUUUUCACGAAAUUUCCUUUUUCUUCCUUUUCCAUUCUUUAAUUCGUUUUCUUGAAAUUUCUUUCUGAAGCUCUUCCCAUGGUCUCCCACCGGCCUUUGAAAACCAUUUUCUCCAUUUUCUCACUUCCAAAAAGAAUAUUUCAUUUUUCUCUCAUCUCUCUCCAUUUUCAUACAUUGUGGGAUAAAUUGGCCUUCCUAAUUCUAAGAGCAUGAAAAUGUUGCUCUCACCUGCAUUGUUGUACAUUAUAUAAAAGUUCUGCACACUUUACAAUUUUCCAAGAUAAUGAAAUAAAAAUUGCAUACCAAAAAACAAAAAUGGUAUUCAUUCCAUUAUAUAAAACUAUUUAUGUACAUAGUUUGGAACAUAUACAAUUCCUUCAAAAGUUGGAACUAAAAGUCAAUACAUGGGAUUGUUGGUCCAUAAUUGAAAUGCCAAUUGUUUUCUAAAAUAUGACAUGUUUUCUUGACAUAAUGUAGCUACAUCUAAACCAGAAGCUUCAUAUUCGAAAUACUUAAUUGUAAAUACACCACAAUCACUAUUGUUGCGUUGAAGUGGAAUGGAGUCGACAAUGACAAGUGGCCAAGGUUCCUUGUGUGUUGAUGAUCCGCCUCUCCUAACAAAGAAUCCAGUAGCAUCGAGCAAAUUUGGCACCAUCUCUUGAAUUGGCUCUAAUAUGCUUCUCAUAUCUUCGGCACUCGUCAGCGACGGAAGCGAAUCCCAUACCUUAACUUGACAACGUACCAAGUCCAAGCAUAAUAGAAUCCAAUGAUUGCCAUGGAUAUUGAAUGGAGAGUAAAUGUAAUCAACAUUCACCCAAGGAUCUUGACAGUCUUGUUUUGAUCCGACAACAUAGUCAACCUGCUUACUAAAUGUGAUAAACUACUUACUAUAGACUGAAAAUGAUGAGCAGGGUCAAUCUUGUACAUGGGACCGUUAGUUGAUGUUGAAGCCAUACUGAAACCUGCAUAAAAAAAAACUAAUUAAAUAUAAUUGCAUAAGAGACUUACUAAACAUGGAUGCACUAGCAUCUUGGGACUUCUACUCAAAAUUUUGGAAGGUGAGAGAUAGGUGCGAGAUGCUGGAAAACUUCAAGGCAAAGUUGCUAAGUCUAAUAAAAUUGCUAACCCUAAAGCCUUAACACCUAGUAGAGUAGCUAAACAUGCAUUCUAAACGGUUUAGGAAGGUUAACACUCUCAUCUUGGGACUUCUACUCAAAAUUUUGGAAGGUGAGAGAUAGGUGCUGAUAGGUGCGAGAUGCUGGAAAACUUCAAGGCAAAGUUGCUAAGUCUAAUAAAAUUGCUAACCCUAAAGCCUUAACACCUAGUAGAGUAGCUAAACAUGCAUUCUAAACGGUUUAGGAAGGUUAACACUCUCAUCUUGGGACUUCUACUCAAAAUUUUGGAAGGUGAGAGAUAGGUGCUGAUAGGUGCGAGAUGCUGGAAAACUUCAAGGCAAAGUUGCUAAGUCUAAUAAAAUUGCUAACCCUAAAGCCUUAACACCUAGUAGAGUAGCUAAACAUGCAUUCUAAACGGUUUAGGAAGUUUACACUCUUAUAUUGGGACUUCUACUCAAAAUUUUGGAAGGUGCGAGAUAGGUGCUGAUAGGUGCGAGACGAUGGAAAACUUCAAGGCAAAGUUGCUAAGUCUAAUAAAAUUGCUAGCUAAACAUGCAUUCUAAACGGUUUAGGAAGUUAACACUCUUAUAUUAGGACUUCUACUCAAAAUUUUGGAAGGUGAGAGAUGAUAGGUGCGAGAUGAUGGAAAAUUUCAAGGCAAAGUUGCUAAGUCUAAUAAAAUUGCUAACCCUAAAGCCAUAACACCUAGUAGAGUAGCUAAACAUGCAUUCUAAACGGUUUAGGAAGGUUAACACUCUCAUCUUGGGACUUCUACUCAAAAUUUUGGAAGGUGCGAGAUAGGUGCUGAUAGGUACGAGAUGAUGGAAAAAUUCAAGGCAAAGUAGCUAAGUCUAAUAAAAUUGCUAACCCUAAAGCCUUAACACCUAGUAGACUACCUAGACUAGCUAAACAUGCAUUCUAAAGAUUGUAUUCUAUUGGAACUACAUCACUAAAAACAUUAACAAAGUAGAGAACAACAAUGCAGCUUAUGAUAAUGUCUUUCAACAAAUUGCAAAGGAAAUGGUCUUUCAACAAUGCAGCUUAUGAUAUUCUAUUGUACUGGUAGCUUUGCAGAGUUUAUAUGGGGUACCAAAUAUAUGUUCGAAUUCAAGUUCUAAACUCCAAGGUAUGGUUUUUCUAUUAUUACAGUACAUUGCAAAGGAAAUGAUGGAUACGGCACUGCCAACGUAGAGGAGUGGAUAAGAAAUGGAGAGGUCCGGUGAAAACAAACCUGAAAUCGAAAUGGAUGGAAGUGGAGAAGCGUCCGCCGGAGUUGAAGUCGAAAGUAAAACAGAGACACGUGCAAUGUCAGUAGUACGACUCUCCUUCCUUGCAUUUUGAAGAUUAGUGAAUAUCCCUUCAAGGUCAUUAACACAAUUCUUUUCUUUUUCCUUCAAAACCUAAUGAGAAGUAGAUUGAUAUUUACUCUUCAAACCCUUUGGCAUUGAUCCGUCUCUUUUCUUCCACCAAAAUUAUCUUAGCAGCAACUGAAAAAAAAAGAAAUCACAAUGAAGCACCAACCCUAUAUAUAAAGUCCGUUCAGAUUGCAAAACAGAAUCUACCCAAAAGGAAAAAAAUCAUAUGGGCUUUCGAAACAAAUACAUUUCUAAUGCUACCAUUGAAUAUUCAUCCACUCCCUCUUACUCAGUUCAAAAAAUAGGAGACUGAAUUGGAAACAAGUAAAAUUGUAACCAUUAUAACGAUCAUAAAAUGAUCACAAAAUUUCACCUAAGCUAAUCCAUCCUUACCUAGGUCUCUAUUUAAAAUUUCGGCAAAAUCUUAAACAUGUUUUUCUAUCAUGUACUAAUUCACCGUGAUCUCUGUGUGCCAUCAUCAAAGAUUCGACUCUCAGUAAGCGGUCUUUUGAUUCAACCCUAAUUCACGUAUUAAAAAGGAAGAAAAACAGAAAUAAACAAAGAAUAGUUACCCACCAAAUUGCUGAAUAUUUGAGUCGAAAAUCAGAGGAAAGUUUGGAGGAAGAAGAUUAGGGGGUUUAGUUUUUUCCUUAGAGAAGUAACAAGUGUAGCUUUGGCUCUUUGUUCAGAUCUUUUCAGUUCACACCGGAGGAGCGACGAACGACAUCCGAGAAGCGAUGAUAUGCACCGAAGUAGAAGGAGAAGAAAGCGAAUGUGUGUGUGUGUGUUUUUUUUUUUUUUUUUUGCGUUUUGUUUCUGCGUUGAGGAGAAGGAAUGGAAGGUAAAAUGAAUUAAGGGUAAUUUAGACAAUUCACACAUAAUUUGUCCUAGAAAUCAACUUUUUAAAAAUCAAUCUCAUAAAUCUUUUAUUCCUCCAUUUUUGGCUUAUUUUUGUUAAUUUCCCCUAUAACUUAUAGCUUCAUUUAUUUGUUUAUUUAUGUUUUCAAAUAUUAUCUAUAAUAUAUUACAUUCCAUUUCAUAUUUAGAUAUCUAUCACUCAAACUUUAAGAUACUGUAUUUUUUAAAAAUUGAUAUGUUUUGAUCUUUAUUUUUAAAAACAUAAAAUUAAUCAUUUAACGCUAACGUCGAUUGAGAAUGAUAUUUUAGAAAGAGUUGACUAUAAAGAGUGAUGACUCACUCUUUUUAUUCACAUUUUAUUAGUUUCGUUUUCUUUUGUUAGUUAUUAUAAUUAUAAGAAACACCUGUAGACUAAUUUUCAUAUAUUACCAUUUUUCUUUAAGAAAAAAGUCCUAAGUUACUUGGUGGGUUGGUUGGAAUCUCUAACAAGAGAGACGACAAAUUUCCAUCCUUUUUUUCUCGUUCCCCCAUAAAUGAUAACUUUAUCAAGGCCUCCAUUAAUGUCAAGUUUAACAACUUCUACACUCUUUUAACUAGUGAUCUCUUCAACACAAUAACUUUAUUCAUUGUGAUGAUAUUUUUGGAAAACUUUUGAUUUAAAGGCAUCAAUCAAUGUGGAAAAAUAUUAGACCAAGAGUGAAUGAUCUAUCUUAGCUUCGUGAUUGAUCUAUCUUAGCUUCGUGAUGCGUAAGUCAUGAUCAAGGGUUAAAGAUGAAGUCAUUGAACAAGAAGUGUACGUAGAGGAAUCCAUAGCUUACAUUUAGUAUAGAAAAUCCGAGAAAUAAAACACACAAGAGAUAGUUUAAACUAACAAUUAAAAACAAACAGUGCCAAUAUGGAUCAUGCACAAGGUGUACCAAAUUGAAAGGAGCAGAGAGAUAACUAAAUUCCUUCAACAAAAUGACAAAUGUGUAGAUAAACUUAACUACUUUAAACAAACGAUUGCUUAUGAAACGGACCUUAGUUUAUUUUACAUUCAAUUAGAUACUUUCAGAAGGAAAAUUCAUUCCAUAUACUUGACAAAUAGCAAAAAGCAAUUAUCGGAACCAUUAAGAGCAACAAAUGAAAAACAAAACGCCAAAUUCAGAUGGGGAAGAAGGAAGUCCAUAAAUAAACAGUUUGAUCUGGCAAACAGUCUUGAAACAACAGUUGAAAACACACAAAGAAAGGUGGACAAGGGAAAAUACAAGGACUUUGACAAUUUACACCUAAACAAAUUAAACUUAAAAAUCAUUUUGAUACAGGAGAGACUAUAUUAUUCUAGUCAGUUUCCUGCCCCAGAUCAAAAACACAGUUUUGUAAGGGAAAAUUUAUUUGCGAAAUUUACUUCGCACCUAAGGUUGGGAACUGCCCAGGGUCUCCAAUGGAUGGGGCUGCAACAUUGCUCAUCGGGCUGCCACUGUAUCCUCCCCUUGAACCACGUCCACGACCCCUUCCUCGGCCACCAGGGGCGUAGUGACGCUCUCCGUCCGCAGGCCUCAAAAACUCGUUGAUACUCAAAGACUAAGUGAAGAAGAAAAACAUCAGUCAUUUAACCUUUUACAGGGUCUAGAACGGCCAAAACAAUGUUGUAUGGCAAGCAAAAUAAAAACUCCUUUAUGCUGAUAUGAGCCUAAUUAGAAGUUAGAACCAAAGCUUUGUAUAAGAAAAUAUUUGGAAGCAAAUUCUAUCAUUUGGAAUAAAGACUACUUUAACGCAUUAAAUUCAUUUUUUUGGAAGUCUACUAUAAUCAAAUUGAUGGAUGAUUUCAUUGCAAUCAUUUUGCCAAAUAAAACUCAUCAAAGCACAAUUUAAAAUAACCUUAGUUUCCUCUAAUAAUGGUUCUAAAAAUUGAGUAAUAUUAUCAUAUUCAAUUUCUUCCGGUCAGUCUCAGCAUGGGCUCACAAAGUAUGCCGUCACCUCUACCUACGUUAAUAGGUCAUCAGUGCAAAUUUCAACCACUGAUAUAAUAUUCUUAAAAGAAAAAGUAAUUCAAUUAAAUUUCUUAAGGUAGGUUCGGAAUAAACCAAAUAAAGAGCAUCCUAUGUGCUGGCGGACAUCAACAUUUUCAAAAUGUAAGGCUCAUGCCUCAAGGAUAGAAGGUUUCUGAAGUUAGAGUAGCCUUUAUUUAUUUUGAACAAGAGGCACGCUCCUCCAUGGUUACACUAUUGAAACGUGGAAAGCAUAUGCUUCAUACAUAAUUGACUUCGGAGAAAAUUUUAGUACUAGUGUCAGGUUGUGGGUCUGUUUAAUGGGAUGAGUGCCGAAAAGACAACAUUUAUUUGUCACUAAAACAAACAACUUGCACAUUAUCUGAAGUAUAAAACUCAAUAAUUUAUGCCUGAAAAGUAACAGGUCACACUAAAAGACAGCCAUAAUUUUGUCUUCCUUUGUAGGUGGGAAAGGUGUUUGGGGCGCUAAGAGACGAGACAACCUAAAAGGUCUGUUCUUUCUCUCGAUUUUUUUUUCCUUUCCUCGUUUACCAUUUCAUUUUUGUCUCUUUUUCUUUGUUCAUUCAAUUCAUCAAAACAACUUUGGAAAAAAUAUAGGCUCGUAGGGUCUAGAGUCUAGAGUCGCAUUGUUUAUCUUCUUGGGGCAAGGCAAAAUUUUAGUCUUUCCAGUUUCGUUUCUCCAUUAUGAGAAUGAUCUUAGAUGAAUAAUAACUCGUGAAAACUAAUGUAUAUUGAUCGGAAAUUGAGAUUUUUCAUUUUAUCUUUUACUAUGUGUUGUGUGUUAUGCAUUAAUUGUUAUGUUCAAAAUGAGAUUUAUGGCUAAAUACUUGCCCUUGCGUCACUAAGGAAAACAAAAGCUGGUGGCUGCCCUAAGACUUUUAAAAUUUUGCCAGGCGUAGGGUAAAACCCGAGUAAACAAUUUAAAAGUCAGAAAUAUUUAAAGAAGAUGAGAUAAUAAUACCUUCUUAGUUCUCUCCUCUUUAUCUGCCAUUUCUUUUCGCUUAUCCUUUUCAGAUCCCUACAAGUGGGGUAACAAAUGAGAUAAAACUGUCAAGUCCUCAUUUAAUGCAAGGCCAAGGGUCAUCAGAUCCCAUAGGGGAUAUAUCAACAGCGAAAGAGUGUUAAGUAGGUGUACCAAUUUAAUAAAUAUGUCAUUGUUGUCCUUCUUGCUUGAAAGUUGUUGCAUGGAUGCAAAUUCUUUAGGAUCCACCUUCCUCUCCUCAGUUUUUAGAGCUAGAAGGGCCUUCCUUUUAUCCUCAAGCAACUUUUCAUACUCCUCCAGAGUCAUUUCCUGCAUCGAAAAAAAAAGAGUACAUUAGAUUCAAAAUCAAGUCAAACAGUACAAAAGACUUCGCAACCCAAGCCCAUCAGAUUGAUAUACGCAUUCAAAUUUACAACUGCUACACGUAUCAAAUUUAUGCUACUAGAAGUGAAGUAAUAAAGCCUGUUCAACUUGACAUGCAAGCAAAACUACAAGUCGCUUUUCAGCCAGAAGAAAAUCAAAACAAGUGAGAUAGUAGGUCCCACAUUUAUGGGAAGUUUACUAAAAUCUGAAGAUACUAACCUUGUCUUCUGGUUCGGUUUCCUGUGGUUCUUUAGCAGGGUUCUCCGUGUUCACACCUGAUGUAUCAUCCUCUUGAAUAGGCUUUUCGUCACCCACAUUCUUUUCAGUUUCAUUAACGGUUUCCCCUGCUACCCUAAAUAUAAAACAGAAAUUUUAGGCAUAACUAGUUGUCAAGGAGAGAACAAUCUUAUUAGCAUACAAGAGAUAAUAACAUGAGCAUAAAAAUGCAACCCUCUCCCUGAAAAGAAAAAUGAAGUUAGCCAAGCUCCCCGUAUACGAUGUGGUUGAGAGCAUCUUCCACAUAUUGAGAAAGGAAUGCCUGACUAUAUAAAUUUGUCUUUCAAGCCAACCUGGCAGCUUCUAUGAGAAGGAUUGAGAAGAAGGCUCAUGUACGCACAAUUACACAUAAUACCUGGAAAAAGACAUGCAUGAAGAUUGAAGGUAUACACAUGUACUUACUCAGCAAAUUCGUCGGUUGACCUUCCCCAAUUUCCACGACCAGACCCUUCUCGUUUAAAUUCAUUUCUAGGCAUAAAAUCAGGAAUAAAGCGUCAAAACAGUGUAGAAUAUACAGCAGGAGUGUGCACAAUAAAAUUUAAAAGAACAGACAAUAGACACUUACCCACGACCAGUUCCACUGUGGCGUUCAAAUGCUCUACGAGGGCGUUCCCCUUCAGCACCUUCUCCAUCAUUGAAACCACCUCGACGGCCACCACGACCACGAGGCCCACCAUAUCCACGUCUUUCAGAUGUCUUACCACCCACUCCAUCUUCAGGUGCAUUAAUGUUCUCAUUAUUGGUAGAGUCUCGAUUAAACCCACCACCCUCGCGACCUCGCCCAUACCCAUAUCCCCGUCCUCCACCUCGUCCACUGCCACGACCUCCACGACUGCCUUCAUUCCUUGAUUCUCUUACUACACAAAGUAAGAAAAAGAUUAUCUUAAUCACUUAAUGGAUAAUUCGUUUCAGUGGACACUCACAAGAAUUUGAAGGAUAAACAAUAGUAGGUCGGUAAAUUAUAAUCUAACAGGACGAAGAAAGACAAAAAAAAUGUUACUGGUAUGAUAACGAAGAAUUGUUUGCACAGUUCCAAGUUCCCAAAAAAGAUCCCAAAUCGAUAAACAAUCACAAAUUCAACUUGGUAAUGUUCAACUGCUAUCAGUAGAUGACUAUUAAAAAUCAACGUAAAGAAAAACAACAUAUCAUAGUAAGAAAACAAAAUCUUAUUUAAGCCUUGAAACAUUAAAAUAAAAUUUAUUUAUUCACAACUGCAUUUCAGACAUCAGAUUUCAGCCAAAAGCAAUACUUCAAUACGUUAAUCCUCCAAUCACAAUACCAAAACAAACAACUCAUUCGGUAUUAUCUAAGUUACGAACAAAAUUCAACUGCCAAACACACAAUAAAACGAAGACAACAGUUCCAUCCCACAAAUUUUUUGAGAAAAAAAAAAAGAGGAAAUUUUCAACACUCCAACCAAAUUAAAAACAAUUACCAUCCUUCGCUCUUACGUAGAAUUAAAUAAGAAAAACAAACACCUAAAACCGAAACGAAUAAACAUUAUCUGAAAAAUGUAAAAUCGAUCGACCAAAGGGAUACUUUUUAAAAAAAGAAAAACAUAAAUAUUCAAAACGAAACCAAAAAUUAAGCAACGAAGAAUCUUACCAGCCUGAGCAGGUGGAAGAGGCUUGGAAGGAAGACUAGCAGGCUUAUUCAGUUGGGCCCCAGAAGGAAGGGGUUUGGUCUGAGCAGGGGCUUUCUUAGACAGCGGCGCCGUGGCCACCGCCGCCACCUUAGCCGCAAUUAGCUGAGAGGGGUCCUCAGCAUCAUCAUCCCCCAACAAAUCAAAAGGAUUAAGGGUGGUCAUUUGGAAACAAUCUGGAAACCAAAAACCCCAAAAAAAGAGCUAACAAAAAAAAAGGAAAAUUAAUUCCACUCCGAGAAAGGAGAUCAACAAAACCUAU